GUGAGGAAUAUUGGUCAAUGGCCGGAAGGCUGAACCAGCCAUGCCGCGUGAAGGUCAGUGCCCUAUGGGCGUUAAACUUCUUUUGUGCGGGAGCAAUAAGGUCCACGUGUGGGCCGACGAGAGUACCGUACGAAUAAGCAUCGGCUAACUCCGUGCCAGCAGCCGCGGUAAUACGGGGGAUGCAAGCGUUAUCCGGAUUUAUUGGGUUUAAAGGGUGCGUAGGCUGUAAGGUAAGUCAGCGGUGAAAUGCCCCCGCUCAACGGGGUGAAGUGCCAUUGAUACUGCCUUGCUGGAAUGCGGAUGCCGUGGGAGGAAUGUGUGGUGUAGCGGUGAAAUGCAUAGAUAUCACACAGAACACCGAUUGCGAAGGCAUCUCACGAAUCCGCGAUUGACGCUGAUGCACGAAAGCGUGGGUAUCAAACAGGA
Molecule: ribosomal RNA, 426 nt
Filed under: uncultured bacterium
Lineage: Bacteria
Description: bacterial SSU rRNA
Rfam family: Bacterial small subunit ribosomal RNA
Source: RNAcentral